GAGGGGGCAACUCCUCAUUCAGUGGCGAACGGGUGAGUAACGCAUCGGAACGUGUCCGGAAGUGGGGGAUAACGCCGCGAAAGCGGCGCUAAUACCGCAUAUGCUCUACGGAGGAAAGUGGGGGACCCGCAAGGGCCUCAUGCUUUCGGGGCGGCCGAUGUCCGAUUAGCUUGUUGGCGGGGUAAUGGCCCACCAAGGCGACGAUCGGUAGCUGGUCUGAGAGGAUGAUCAGCCACACUGGGACUGAGACACGGCCCAGACUCCUACGGGAGGCAGCAGUGGGGAAUUUUGGACAAUGGGGGCAACCCUGAUCCAGCCAUGCCGCGUGCGGGAAGAAGGCCUUCGGG
RNAcentral lists this ribosomal RNA (347 nucleotides) under uncultured bacterium. RNAcentral describes it as "bacterial SSU rRNA". It matches the Rfam family "Bacterial small subunit ribosomal RNA", at positions 73 to 422 of the family's 1533-position model. The record is from RNAcentral.